This 253-nucleotide ribosomal RNA is filed under the name uncultured bacterium. RNAcentral's name for it is "partial 16S ribosomal RNA". It matches the Rfam family "Bacterial small subunit ribosomal RNA", at positions 524 to 776 of the family's 1533-position model. The record is from RNAcentral.
UACAGAGGUCCCAAGCGUUGUUCGGAUUUACUGGGCGUAAAGGGUGCGUAGGAGGUCUGGAAAGUCGGGUGUGAAAUCCCACCGCUCAACGGUGGAGUGGCGCUCGAUACUUCCAGACUCGAGGAUCGGAGAGGAGAACGGAAUUCCUGGUGUAGCGGUGAAAUGCGUAGAUAUCAGGAGGAACACCAACGGCGAAGGCAGUUCUCUGGAAGGUUCCUGACUCUGAGGCACGAAGGCCAGGGGAGCAAACGGG